RNAcentral lists this non-coding RNA (29 nucleotides) under Mus musculus (house mouse). Lineage: Eukaryota; Metazoa; Chordata; Mammalia; Rodentia; Muridae. The record is from RNAcentral.
UGAGCAAUUCCAUGUGGAACCGGAGAAGG